AAGCUAGGCUUCCAAAGGGAAUGACAAAGAAGCAGGUUCUCCUCUUGCUUAAUAAGUAGUCAUAGUUUGCCUCUGGAGAUAUGUAUUUCCAGUUGUUUUAGUUGUUUUGUUUUGUUUUGUUUUGUUGUUGUCAUCGCUAUCGAAGAAUAUUCUUUCCUGUCAGUGAUUAUUAACACUUUCCGUUUUUCAGAAUGCUUUAACUCUGUUUGAUGUUUCCUCACUUGGUUACCUUUCUCAAGUCUGCGAUGACCCUCUCAGGCUUUGCCAUUCUUAUCGAUUCUUACCAGAAUGUACUUACUCAUUAGCUGUUUUGUUAUAGUUAUGGUGGAGAUAAUCUUGUUUUUCAGGCUUUUAUAACUAACCAAACAAAUUACCUUUUGAGGUGAAAUUUCUCAUAGUUAUCCUUGACACAGAACUGAACUUGUCUUGAAAAGGCUUGAAGAAAAUCCAAUUAGCCGUUUUUUGAGAACUGAAUAUUCUAAUAAAUGCAAAUGGAUUAUUUUACAAAAUACUUAUUGAUGUGCAAUGCUUUUCUAAUCUGUUUUUCUUUUCGUGCUUUAAAACAGACCCUGAAAAUUAAAUGUAUUAAAAAGAAAGAAAGAAAAAGAAAGAAACCUGCCAGGUUAAUACUGAUAUUUUAAAUACCCAAUUUAAAAUAAUGCUCAAAGUUUGAAUUUCUUUGCAACAUAUCACCUUUCAGUGUCAGUCAGUAAUACCUGGGCAGGUAUAUAUAUACAUUCACACCCACAGGGAAACAUGAAUCCACUUUACAGUUACAUUAAUUCUAUUUUAACCUACAAGAGAAAAGGUUAGCAUUACUGUAAAACUUUUGUUAAUUCAUUAUAUUUUAUUUUUCUGUAAUAAAAAAUUCACUGAACUAUUGCUUUCAUCCAAUUAUAUAUAUACUUAACACCCAUUUAUAUUCAAAUAUUUUAUCUUAAUUUAUGAAGUAUUUUUAUAAGUCUUAUAUGCUGCUGAAUUUUAUGCAGCUAUAUGAACGUUUAAGUUUUUUCUGAUACAAUUUGCUUUGUUCCGAAUCUGUUACUGUGUUAGAAGUUUUUUUCUUUCCCAAUCUAGAAAGAGUAUGGCCAUCUUUUCCUAUAUGUGAUAUCUAUACAUCUUCAGUAUUCUGAAGAAGAGAUUUUUUAACCUGCAAUCUCUUGGAAAGCUUUCAAACAAGUGGGAGAAGUAAUCUUUACUUUGCUUCUCCUUGAUCCAUCUGUUUGCCCUCACUGUACCACCCGUCACCACCAGCAACCCUGAAAAAAACAACAGUAAUAAAUAUGAUACGAUAAUUUUUCUGAUCACAGAACCAGGAAAUACCAGAGAAAAUUGUGGCAUAUGUAGGAAAAUGCCAAGAGCUUCUCCAGUAAGAUCAGCUGUUUUUAUACUUUUUUUUUUUCCUCUUGAAUUUUGUUUGUGACUUUUUUGGCUUGCUGAAGCACAUCCCCAUAAUCUUACGAAGCCACAGCAAAUUCCCAAUGCCACAACAAUACUGUGCAGCCGGGGAGAGGCCAGAAGAGCUGAUCCUGGGUGGCUGCAGGCUUCCCCAGCAAUGGUGCAAGGCAGGAGGAGUAAGUAGGCUACUCUUCUUUUCCCUUCUUACCUAGGCUGCCCAACCUGCCAGCUAGAGAUUUUCUUUCUGUAGCUUUCUCUUCAACUGUCUGAGACAUUUCCUUCAACAACCAAUGACUUUCUACUUCCAAGGGAUGGUUCAUAUAGCAAAACAUCCAUUUUUAUUUUAUAUUGCAACAUGGAAAGCUUUGAAAUUGGAGGGGCAAAGGAAAGGGGCUCAGGGUAUCCGAGAAAUAUCCCAAAUGGCAUUAGGCUCAAAGCUGUUUUUCAUGGUUGCUCAGGUCUAUAACUUUCCUGUUCCCUCCAGAGCCUCUAAGUGGUUGAAAGUAGUGAAUGGGAUAACUAUAGGGUACACACUAUGAUCUAACUGAUUCAGUAGAUGGAGCUCUUCUCCUUAAGUCUGUAUUUAAAUUAACGUCCCACUCUAGUUUGUGGGGCUCUCUCUUUUAAGGUGUGUCAUACUACACACAUAAAAUUGAGGCCUGCAUAGCUAGAGAAGAGAUUUCCUGGCGCUUUUCAAGAGACAUGAAGCAUUUGUUCUGAAAUGCAAACAGUGCAGGGGAGCACUAGGGUGGGGUGGGAAGGGAAAUGGAGUUUACCUAUCUAAAUUUCUCUCUGUGUUUGUUGAUAUUCUUAAGUGUGAAAUUAAAUCCUAGCAGUUAUUGUGGAAUACACUUAUUCAUUAGCUAAUUUGUAAAUGUAGAAAAAUAUAUUGCACAUGCAGGAUUUUGGUGAUAUUCAUUGCAAAUCUUCCAAGCUAUCUGAACUGUGCAGAUCUCCUUUCAUUUAAUUCUACAAAAGCAUCUUAAUACUGUAAUGCAGUUGUUUCAUCUAAUUAGUCUAGAGUACCUGAAUAAAAUGUUACAAGUUCUGAAUUGUGACAGCACAGUGGAGGGCAAAGUAGUGUGUUAGUAAGGUGCCUUUGUGGAAGCCAAAAUAUUUUCAGCAAUAACUGAAAAUAGAUUUCCAGUAUCUGUUUUAAUGGGGGAAGAGCUACUUGUUUAUUUCUUUUUAAAUUAAUUGAAAUGAAUAAUUGCCACAGAAUUUUUGUCAGUGUUACAUUGUUUUCAGUACCAAUAGAAUAAGUUUGAUCAUGUCUCUUCCUGGUACCAAGUGGAGAAAUAUAUGUACACUGUAUGUAAUAAAUUAUCUUCCUUAGUGGAAUGUCUUCUCACAGAUUGGAGAUAUUACUGAAUAUCUCUUGUUAAAUCUUGAUAAGAUCAUUUGGCCAAAGUAGAACUGGUCUUGGCUUUAGUACCAAAAGAAAUAGCAUUUUUAAAAGACUUGGAUUUCCUUUGCAUACCACGUGUCUGAGUUUGAUACAGUCCAGGAAAAUAGAGAGGAUGAGAUGAAAUUAUUCCUAAGCAGCCGCCGUAGGCCAAACACUGAAACAGUGCCAACCUGGACCAAUCAGGCCGGCUUCUCAGAAGAUACAUGCUUUUGUCAAACACUUACAUGAAGAAAGAGAGAGAGGAAGUUCGUGAAACUGUAUUUGUAUGAAUAUUCUUCACUGAUUUCAAUAAAGUCCAGGGUAAUAAAUUCGAUGAUUUUUAUUCUUUUGUAAAGCAGAAAAUCUGAGUUUUUCUGGGCAGCUAAGGUUCUCUAAAUGUUGUACUGUGACAUCUUUUAAACAAAACUAUCCUUUCGAAUUUAAGCAGUGCAAAACUUCUCACAAAGAGCAAAGAGUAAAAUUGAUGGAAACUCAGAAUCAAUUCCAAACCCAUUUCUGGCAUGAUGAGAAUAACAUUUGUGCUGUGUUUAAAGUAGUUUAAAACAAGAAAAUGAUAAAAUGAUCAAUAUACUUAAAGCCAAAAAUAACCAGGAGAGAACAAUCUGUAAUCCAUUCUCAGUCUGAAACCCCACACUACUUAUUUAUUGAACAUGAAAAUAAACAACUAUAUAUUUUAUAAGGUGGCCCUGCAAACCUUAUAACAUAUAAACAGUAAUGAUGAGAUGCCAGGCUUUCAACCCUUUAUUUAAGCUAUGUGUUUAGAAUUUAGUCAGGCAAAAACUCCUGGACUUAAACUAUUAUACAUUUAUUUGUUUCUACAUACCAUGACCAUAAAAAGAACAAACGUUAAGGAAUAUAUAGAUUGUCGCAGUGAACUACAUUGCCACCUUACAGUUUAUGUACUCUGUUUGUUUUAAAAAGAAAAAAAGGUUUUAACUACAGCAAAAGAAUAUUUUAAGUUAGAAAGUCAGUUAAUUGAUCAAUAUAGAACAGAUUUAAUAUUUCUUUAAAAAUACCUUGACUCCUGACUAAUUUAUUAAAUUCAACACAUACAUAAAUGUAAACCAUAUAUAUUUUAUACUUAUUGCUUUAAUGGAUUGCUUUAAAAGACUAACUUGACACUAAUAAAUUUUGAACCUGUGGAUUCAAGAGGCACUUAACUGGAUAUAUAUUUAUCGAUCAGAUAAAAUAAAAUUGUCCAUCUAGAUUUUUAAAAUUCCAGCUGAAGAACUUAAAAUAACAACAAAUUGCAUAGGCACACAAUUUCAUUGCACUGAGGUGCUGUAGGAAUGAUGAUAAUUCUAAUGAGCACUGUGACGAAUGCAACUACAAUGAAACAUGUUUGAUUACAUCAGUAAGAGUGAACUCAGUGGGCAAGGAAUUUUAAAUAGAGAAGAAUAGAAGGAUCUACAUUAAAACAAGGUUUUAUUUUUAUCAAAAAAAAUUUGAUGAGGGGGUUGUCCAACAGAUUAAGAAAUGAUAUUCAGGCUUAAACUACUCAUUUUGCCAAUAAGAAAACUUAAACACAGAGAAGAGAUAAAAUGCUUUCAAGAUGAGCAAGGCAAAACUGGGACCAGAACUCAAGUUUUCUAACUCACGUUUUCUUGAUGUACUCCUAUGCCAAAAGGCUGACCACUAAAACUAAUUUAUAAAAAUAAAAAAAGCUGAAACCCAUCAAAGCCCAUGAAGAGCAAGUGUAAAUUUAGAGCAACC
This 4519-nucleotide long non-coding RNA is filed under the name Homo sapiens (human). RNAcentral describes it as "HSALNT0313904". Lineage: Eukaryota; Metazoa; Chordata; Mammalia; Primates; Hominidae. The record is from RNAcentral.